CGCUAUUUAUCAACGACUACCUGCUGGCGUCGUCAACAAUCUUCAAAGGAGCGACGGAAAGAAAACGUUUUCCAGUUUUAAAAUAUUAAGCCCCCGGUGAGGACGUCAUUACUUAACAGAAGCCGGUUCAACACGCGCAGCUCCUGUUCAUGACGUCAUCACUAAACUCAAGCCAGCUGAACACGCGCAGCACGGAUGGUACCCCGAGCGCAGUAGGAGGAAGGAAGAACGAGAGGAGGAAGAACGGUAAAUUUGGAAGGGGGAAAGCGUUCUGCCGUCUACACAGCGGGAGUAUGCCAAAACACAUGUGGGAAGGGAGAGGGAUAUUAUUCAAUAAACAGCAUGCGAAUGUGUGCAUAAAGCAAA
Molecule: long non-coding RNA, 366 nt
Organism: Anopheles coluzzii
Lineage: Eukaryota; Metazoa; Arthropoda; Insecta; Diptera; Culicidae
Exons: 2
Source: RefSeq, a predicted model, not a curated record